GACGAACGCUGGCGGCGUGCCUAAUACAUGCAAGUCGAACGCAGUGGGGACGGGUGAGUAACACGUGGGUAACCUCCCAUCAGAGGGGAUAACACUUGGAUACAGGUGCUAAACCGAUACUGAUGGAUGAACCCGCGGUGGAUUAGCUAGUUGGGGAGGUAACGGCUAACCAAGGCCACGAUGCAUAGCGGAACUGAGAGGGUGAGCGGCAACACUGGGACGGAGACACGGCCCAGACUCCUACGGGAGGCAGCAGUAGGGAAUCUUCGGCAAGGGACGAAAGUCUGACCGAGCAACGCCGCGUGAGUGAAGAAGGUUUGCGGAUCGUAAAGCUCUGUUGUUAGAGAAGCGGUAUCUAACCAGAAAGCCACGGCUAACUACGUGCCAGCGGCCGCGGUAAUAC
RNAcentral lists this ribosomal RNA (403 nucleotides) under uncultured bacterium. Its description in RNAcentral is "partial 16S ribosomal RNA". It matches the Rfam family "Bacterial small subunit ribosomal RNA", at positions 28 to 526 of the family's 1533-position model. The record is from RNAcentral.